Long non-coding RNA from Micropterus dolomieu (smallmouth bass), 399 nucleotides. RefSeq lists it as uncharacterized. The record is from RefSeq and is a predicted model, not a curated record. The transcript is spliced from 3 exons. NCBI's taxonomy places the organism in Eukaryota, Metazoa, Chordata, Actinopteri, Centrarchiformes, Centrarchidae.
UACCAUGAAAAAGGUGUAAUCGGAGUCAGGCAGUAAAUUCUGAGUCACGAACGCAACAAACUCGUUCCACCCUCACAUGUUUGGUUUGUACAGAGUCAAACUAUCAAACCUACAUCAGUUCCCCACUUCUUCCUGACAGCAUCGACCACGUCAUGCAGCUCGUCCAGCUCCUUCAACGAGUCCUCUGGCUUGAGAUUGUGUAGAGCACCGACCUGUAGUUGGACAGCUGAAGCGCAGAACGAAGGGCUCUCUGGCGAAGGCGUCCACAUCUCCAACUUGAUUAUCUUCAUACUGGUGUCUCGUCCCAGCUGGCUGCUGGAGGUCAUGGAGUAGGGACGGGUUUGGUUGGAGCUGAGGGGAAACAGAAACAACACCAAAGAAGAGUACUAUAAUGUUACA